UACUAAAGCGUUGAGACAACUCGGGUGAAGGAACUAGGCAAAAUAGCACCGUAACUUCGGGAGAAGGUGCGCCAAUUGUAGUUGUAGGCAUUUACUGUCGAAGGCGAGAUUGGUCGAAGAUACCAGGUGGUUGCGACUGUUUACUAAAAACACAGCACUCUGCAAACACGAAAGUGGAAGUAUAGGGUGUGACUCCUGCCCGGUGCUGGAAGGUUAAUUGAAGGGGUUAGCUCACCUUCAGAUAAUUUUUAAGAUACGAGG
This 261-nucleotide ribosomal RNA is filed under the name Buchnera aphidicola. RNAcentral's name for it is "partial 23S ribosomal RNA". It matches the Rfam family "Bacterial large subunit ribosomal RNA", at positions 1679 to 1904 of the family's 2925-position model. Lineage: Bacteria; Pseudomonadati; Pseudomonadota; Gammaproteobacteria; Enterobacterales; Erwiniaceae. The record is from RNAcentral.